This is a non-coding RNA of Glycine soja, 83 nucleotides long. NCBI's taxonomy places the organism in Eukaryota, Viridiplantae, Streptophyta, Magnoliopsida, Fabales, Fabaceae. The record is from Rfam.
UUUCGUAAAUGACGAAAAAAAUCUUUUCCUACACACCGAAAUUACUGUGUGGAUUUCAACUCCGCCUAUUAUCUGAUGCCGUA